AGAUGUGGGGGAGGAAGACAUCGAGGGCGUAGUGAAAGCAUUUUUGGAGGACGUGAAGAGAGGGACAUGGAAGAAGGCAGGUUGGCCGGCGCUAUGGACGGAUUAUGCUGUGUCCAAGUUGGCGCUGAAUGCUUACACCAGAGUUUUGGCUAAGCGAUAUGGUGAGUUUGGGAGUGUGAGUGUGAAUAGCUUUUGCCCUGGCUUCACACAAACCUCAAUGACACGUGGAAAAGGAACACACACCGCCGCCGACGCCGCCCUCGUCGGAGCUAGACUCGCCAUGUUGCCGCCUCACCG
RNAcentral lists this unclassified non-coding RNA (297 nucleotides) under Hevea brasiliensis (rubber tree). The record is from RNAcentral. Lineage: Eukaryota; Viridiplantae; Streptophyta; Magnoliopsida; Malpighiales; Euphorbiaceae.